GAUGAAGAACGCAGCGAAAUGCGAUAAGUAAUGUGAAUUGCAGAAUUCAGUGAAUCAUCGAAUCUUUGAACGCAUCUUGCGCUCCUUGGUAUUCCUUGGAGCAUGCCUGUUUGAGUAUCAUGAGCAAACCUCAAAGUCAAUUCCUUUUGUUAAUUCAAUUGGUUUUGCUUUGGACUUGGAGGUCUUGCAGAUUUCACAGUCUGCUCCUCUUAAAUGCAUUAGCUGGAUCUCAGUAAUUAUGCUUGGUUCCACUCGGCGUGAUAAGUAUCACUCGCUGAGGACACUGUUAAAAAGGUGGCCAGGAAAAUACUGAUUGAACCGCUUCUAACGGUCUAUUAAGUUAGACAAUCACCCUUAAGUUUGAUCUCAAAUCAGGUAGGACUACCCGCUGAACUUAAGCAUAUCAAUAAGCGGAGGA
This 418-nucleotide unclassified non-coding RNA is filed under the name soil metagenome. Its description in RNAcentral is "partial contains 5.8S ribosomal RNA, internal transcribed spacer 2, and large subunit ribosomal RNA". The stretch from base 1 to 120 matches the Rfam family "5.8S ribosomal RNA", at positions 35 to 154 of the family's 154-position model. The record is from RNAcentral.